RNAcentral lists this ribosomal RNA (497 nucleotides) under uncultured bacterium. Its description in RNAcentral is "partial 16S ribosomal RNA". It matches the Rfam family "Bacterial small subunit ribosomal RNA", at positions 899 to 1397 of the family's 1533-position model. The record is from RNAcentral.
ACUCAAAUGAAUUGACGGGGGCCCGCACAAGCGGUGGAGCAUGUGGUUUAAUUCGACGCAACGCGCAAAACCUUACCUGGGUUAAAUCCACAGGAAGCCGGAUGAAAGUCUGGUGUGCCCUUCGGGGAACCUGUGAGAAGGUGCUGCAUGGCUGUCGUCAGCUCGUGUCGUGAGAUGUUGGGUUAAGUCCCGCAACGAGCGCAACCCUUGUCGUCAGUUGCCAGCAUUCAGUUGGGAACUCUGGCGAGACUGCCGGCCUAAACCGGAGGAAGGUGGGGAUGACGUCAAGUCCUCAUGGCCCUUAUGCCCAGGGCUACACACGUGCUACAAUGGCUGGUACAAUGAGCUGCAAGUCCGCGAGGCCAAGCUAAUCUCAAAAAACCAGUCUCAGUUCGGAUAGAAGUCUGCAACUCGACUUCUUGAAGCCGGAAUCGCUAGUAAUCGGAGAUCAGCACGCUCCGGUGAAUACGUUCCCGGGCCUUGUACACACCGCCCGU